This is a long non-coding RNA of Anastrepha ludens (Mexican fruit fly), 723 nucleotides long. RefSeq lists it as uncharacterized. The record is from RefSeq and is a predicted model, not a curated record. Lineage: Eukaryota; Metazoa; Arthropoda; Insecta; Diptera; Tephritidae. The transcript has 3 exons.
ACUAAUUAAAAGUAGAAGUCGAAAAGGAUAUAACGAGCUUUGGAUUCUACAAACUCACUUAAAUUCAAAUUAUUACAUUUCAAUUUAAUUAAUUUUCAGACAAAUAAUUAUAAACAUUUCAACACGUCAUUUCUCCAUUAAGCAAAAACGAACUGUUUUCGUCUGUUAUUUUUGGCGCGAUUUUUCUGGCAGUCUGCCAUUUCGCCUAUCAGCUGUUCAAAAUCCCAUAAUGUCCUUACUGCUGCUCCUGUUUAUCGUGCCUUCGUUAUUCCUAAAGCAAAAAACAUACAAAAAUUUUCAAACACAUUAACUUCAACUCGUAGCAUGUACUUUAGUUAGUAAAAAUACCAACUUGUGUACAUAAACCAAAAAUUACUUAAUUUUUAUUAAUUUUGAGGCUUAGAAAUGGAAUACCCAGAAGGCAAAAAUCAACAUUUACGACACCUGCUCUUCUUUGCCGAAGCCGCCCGGGACAUUUGCGAGGUGUAUGGGGAAGGUGUCAUAGGCGAAUCUACGGCAAAGUUCAAGAAAGGGGACUUUGACGUCAAUGGCACGUCCCGCAGCGGAAGGUCUCGAUGAAGAACGUCUCAAAUCAAUUUUAAAGGAGAACGGCCGCCAAACCAAUCGGGAAUUGGGUGCCUUACAAGUUCAAUAUUAAUAUUUAAGUCAUGGUUGAAUAAUUUAAAUUUUUUGUUUUUAAAUAAAACAAAAGCUCAAAAUGUA